RNAcentral lists this small RNA (135 nucleotides) under Chimaeribacter arupi. RNAcentral describes it as "Yersinia sRNA 155(RyfD)". It matches the Rfam family "Yersinia sRNA 155(RyfD)". The record is from RNAcentral. Lineage: Bacteria; Pseudomonadati; Pseudomonadota; Gammaproteobacteria; Enterobacterales; Yersiniaceae.
AGACGAUCCGUGACGCAUAAAAAAACGCCGAAAAUACAGUCAAGAUAACCUUGAAAACGUGAGGGAUGACCUCAUUUAAUCUCCAGUAGCAAUUUUGACCUGUAUUGGAGGAGUUAUGCGUCUGGAUCGUCUUAC